AUUAGCACUAUAUUCCUGCAUCCAAGCCUGGGAGGGAGAUGUUACAAGCGGUAGUUCUGUGCUGAGUUCUCGCAGAUGCACAGACUCUGGGAUGCGAGUGCAUGACUUAAACUGCAAAACUGUUACAGGGAGACAGUUAUUAGAUUCCCGCCGCGAGAUUGGGAAUGCAUGCAGGAUAAGUCUUGCCAUGGAGCUGCUGUGGAAUUGCAGCUACGUGAAGACUGCAUGGUUGCACAGGCGCGGCCAUUUUGCCCCGGCCGCAUGGCCGGGGAAAGCUCGUCUCUUCCGGUCCCGCGGCCAUUUUCUUGUGCCCCUAAUGAGGACCAGUAUCAUUCAAGAAAUGGGACUGCAAAGCACUCCAGAAAAAACUCAACAGACCCAACCAUAGAACAAAUCUCCAAUAGAGAGUGGACUACACAGCAAAGGAUCAUCCCUAAACCUUCAACUUUGAAGUAAGAGACACUAUAACACAAAAUGACUUGCUGCUAUUGCUUCAAAGUAUUAACCAACUUUGACCAAUCCUGGACAUAACUACAGGAAAACUGCAGAUUAACAUCUAUUCCUGCCCAUUUUCCAUUGAAAACUGACUGAACUGUUGUUAACAUAUUUGCUAAGAUUGUUUCUAAAGGUAAAGAACAACUACAAGAGAUGAAUGAACAAAAACAUGGGCAUUAUCUGCAUUCCAAAAACCAGAGAUAACAUAGACUGAUUUCUCACCGGGGACGCUGGAUUUCAAGCUGAGUGAGCAGAUUGUAAUGAACCCAUCUAUUCUAAGCACAAACUGUGAUCAGAAAUUGAAAAUUUACUUUCAAUAACUAUGCUUUACUGCCAUUCACAGAUCACUCAUAUAACUAAAUUUAAUCCUAUGAAAAAUAUACGUAUCACCACACUCACCCACAGGACCAACAACAGUAGAAAGAGCACACCAAACAUUAAGAAAAAUAUUAUAAAAACAACAAAAAGGGGGGAAGGGAUACGGGUCUUUUCUCUAUAUGUAUGUAAACCUACACUAACUCUUCUUCAAAACAGGAACAAUCACAAAGAAACAAUAAUUGAUGAAACUAAAGCAGAAGAAACACACAAUCAAUAACCACUAUUAAUUAUAACUUAUAGUUAAAAAACAGAAUAAACAUGCGGAACAUGUGAGAAUGAAAUGUGUGAAUAGUGGCCACUGAAUGAAUGGAAAAGUGUGUGUGUGUAUGAAAAUUCAAAAACAUUCAGUAUCAAUUAUAUCUCUAUUACAGGCACAAUUAUACAACAAUAUCACCUCAACUACAUAAAUUAUCCUCAAAUAGCAGUAAGUACAAUACUCACUGCCUCAGAUAAAAAAAUCUUACAUAUUUAUAAACCCUGAAUAAUUGAAGGUUACACAAUUAAUAAAGUUAUUAAUAUUACAUGGUUAAUAAAGUUACAGAGCUAAUAAAGUUAUUACCAGUUUUAAUAAAGGCCUUACCACAUCAGGCCCUUAUAAAUAGUUAAGAUAAGCUUGCUUAUGUUAAAAAAUGCUUAAGAAAAAAGUUUAAAAAAUUGUUCUGUAACUCGUUAUAAUGAUAAUAAGGAAAGGGAAAAUGUAGUGAUUCAUAUUAGAGGAAGAAUGCUGCAAAGCAUUCUGGGACUUGUUCUUUAAGAUUCUAUCACACGUGCGCAUUGAGGUGCUCUAAUGUCAUUGGUUGAAAGGUCACGUGUUACAGUUUGAGCUCUGUAUUUAAACUGCUGUUCUUGGUAAUAAAGCUAAUUCACUUAUUGCA
Molecule: long non-coding RNA, 1748 nt
Organism: Pseudopipra pipra
Lineage: Eukaryota; Metazoa; Chordata; Aves; Passeriformes; Pipridae
Exons: 2
Source: RefSeq, a predicted model, not a curated record